Non-coding RNA from Gasterosteus aculeatus (three-spined stickleback), 45 nucleotides. NCBI's taxonomy places the organism in Eukaryota, Metazoa, Chordata, Actinopteri, Perciformes, Gasterosteidae. The record is from Rfam.
CAAACGGCUCUUUUAAGGGCCACCCACUCACACACUUUAUUAUUG